This 253-nucleotide ribosomal RNA is filed under the name uncultured bacterium. RNAcentral describes it as "partial 16S ribosomal RNA". It matches the Rfam family "Bacterial small subunit ribosomal RNA", at positions 524 to 776 of the family's 1533-position model. The record is from RNAcentral.
UACAGAAAGGGCAAGCGUUGUUCGGAAUUACUGGACGUAAAAGGCUCGUAGGCGGCCAACUAAGUCGGAUGUGAAAUCCCCAGGCUCAACCUGGGAACUGCAUCCGAUACUGGAUGGCUUGAAUUCAAGAAAGGGAUGCAGAAUUCCAAGUGUAGCGGUGAAAUGCGUAGAGAUCGGGAGGAACACCAGUGGCGAAGGCGACUCUUUGGUCUGUAACUGACGCUGAGGCGCGAAAGCGUGGGGAGCAAACAGG